Molecule: ribosomal RNA, 293 nt
Filed under: uncultured bacterium
Lineage: Bacteria
Description: partial 16S ribosomal RNA
Rfam family: Archaeal small subunit ribosomal RNA
Source: RNAcentral
GUGCCAGCCGCCGCGGUAAUACCGGCAGCUCAAGUGAUGGCCACUCUUAUUGGGCCUAAAGCGUCCGUAGCUGGCCGCGCAAGUCCGUCGGGAAAUCCAUCAGCCCAACUGAUGGGCGUCCGGCGGAAACUGCACGGCUUGGGACCGGAAGGCUCGAGAGGUACGUCCGGGGUAGGAGUGAAAUCCCGUAAUCCUGGACGGACCGCCGAUGGCGAAAGCACUUCGAGAAAACGGAUCCGACAGUGAGGGACGAAGGCCAGGGUCUCCAACCGGAUUAGAAACCCCUGUAGUCC